UGUUCUCAGAUCUGUUGUCCUGGCGUCUUGUAGGAAGCUGAGAAAUCUGGCUGUGCCUCCAAGAUACAGUUUUCCUACAUACAGUUGGUUUGUGUACCAAGGGCCUGAGGCCAUUGCACAAACUUCAGAGGAACAAAUACGUGGCUGGUUGGUCACUGGUUCCUCCCUUUCCUUUGAACCCCACCUCUAAAACAAACUUCCUCUCAUCUUCCUAGUGUCCCGCUUUCUACUCCAGUGAUUUCUCGUUACACCUGUCUUUGUGUGUUGCUGCUAGAAGCUUCAGAGGAACAAGGACUCCAAAAACACACGAGGUAACCUCAGCUCACAACUCUUCAAGCCACUCUCCUCUCUCCUGCUGAACUAGAUCUCCACAAACACUAGAGACUCACCGACUGGAGUGAAUUCCCUCAGUGAAAUCACUCUCCUGUGCCAAGAAUCAAAGGUCACCCCAGCGGAGUGCCGUCUUCAUGUUCGGCCGCUACGGAGUGUCUGGAACAGAAUUAAUGCCCGUGCCACACUGACUGGCAGCGUUAUCCGUUUCUCACGUGAAGUGAGGAGCAGGGAGGAGUCAUGUGAAUGAAUUUACAAGUGUAUUGAACAGAACGAGUAUCCUCUGGAACAUUUUUAUGCUACUGAAAAGCUGUGGGGCUUUGUGCCAUCAAGACA
Long non-coding RNA from Manis pentadactyla (Chinese pangolin), 666 nucleotides. RefSeq lists it as uncharacterized. The transcript has 5 exons. NCBI's taxonomy places the organism in Eukaryota, Metazoa, Chordata, Mammalia, Pholidota, Manidae. The record is from RefSeq and is a predicted model, not a curated record.